This 254-nucleotide ribosomal RNA is filed under the name uncultured Clostridium sp. RNAcentral describes it as "partial 16S ribosomal RNA". It matches the Rfam family "Bacterial small subunit ribosomal RNA", at positions 502 to 754 of the family's 1533-position model. Lineage: Bacteria; Bacillati; Bacillota; Clostridia; Eubacteriales; Clostridiaceae. The record is from RNAcentral.
UACGUGCCAGCAGCCGCGGUAAUACGUAGGUGGCAAGCGUUGUACGGAUUUACNUGGGCGUAAAGGGAGCGUAGGUGGAUAUUUAAGUGGGAUGUGAAAUACUCGGGCUUAACCUGGGUGCUGCAUUCCAAACUGGAUAUCUAGAGUGCAGGAGAGGAAAGUAGAAUUCCUAGUGUAGCGGUGAAAUGCGUAGAGAUUAGGAAGAAUACCAGUGGCGAAGGCGACUUUCUGGACUGUAACUGACACUGAGGCUC